GGGAAACUCCGCUUUACCUGGCUGCUGAUAAUGGAUGUGAAGAGAUAGUCCUUGAACUACUAAGAAAUCCCAAUUCAAAAUCACUGACUUAUAUCGGCCCCAGUGGUAAAACGGCAUUACAUGCGGUGGCAAUGAACUGGGACAUUUAUCAGAAAAGUGAAGGUAGAUCAGUAAAUAUAUCAGAAACUUCCUUUAUGCAUGUAUUGAUUAUAAAUUAAUUAAUUUUAUUUUAUUUCAGUUUCAAAAUGAUUUUUUGAAACUCAAGAAUUAAUAUACAAUAUAAGAAGGUGCGUUGAGGUGCUGAAGGUUUUGUUGGGGCUUUUGGUGGAUCUAUUUUUGCUGUGUUCUAGUGUGCUACUUUGGCUUUCCUGCUCCAGUCCUAUUGUGUUAGCCUUUGGUUCUUUUCGAAUUCUUGUUCCUUUGCUGGAGGUUUUGGGUCAUUGUUGCAGCCUCUUGCUUUUGGUUCUUCUUCGGAAUUUUCAGCUUUUCAUUGGGUUCCAGUUUCGAGUUUUUUCUUUCCUUCUCUUGCUGCUUGCUUGCUUCGCUAAGGGGCUUCUCUAGUUGCAGUAGCCUUUUGGAUUGUUUAGCAAGGCUCUCAGGGAGUGUAGUUGUUUGGGUUCUCUGGAGCUUGUGGCUCGGCUUUAGAGUCUCUACCUGGGCCGCUUAGCUGUCUUCUGGUCUUGGUCUAUUGCAUGCUGGUGGUCAGCUUUGUUUUUGUUGUUCUUUAUUUCUAAGUUUGGUGGUGGUUUCAAGCCAUUCUGUUAUUACUUCUUAUGCAGGUCUCUUUUUUGUGUAGUUUAGCUUAUUGCUAAGUUUGGUUUGUGGUUUUGAUCUUGUUUUUCUUUCAGUUUCCUAUAGCUGGUCUCGCUGUAGUUCUAUUUUAAUAAAAAUUUUCAGCUUA
Molecule: unclassified non-coding RNA, 901 nt
Filed under: Hevea brasiliensis (rubber tree)
Lineage: Eukaryota; Viridiplantae; Streptophyta; Magnoliopsida; Malpighiales; Euphorbiaceae
Source: RNAcentral